GUGAUUUGUGGUGCUCUCUGUGGAAAAGUCUUUUGUCACUUUACAUCAAAUUGUCAAUCAUUUAAUUCAAUUGAAAGCUCAGUCAUCCUUCCAUGUUGGUUUCAAAUGACAAGGCAAAAAAUACAGAUAAACCAUUUGAUGUAGCUCUUCAUAUUCUUGCUCCUGAAUUUAGCAUCCACAAGGGAAAUAGGAGUCAUGGUGAACAUGAAUGAGGCGUCGUGUGAUAAUCCUUAUUGCCAUAUGAUCACCAACGCAUGUAACAAACGAUGCUACAACGAAUCAUUCAGUAGCCCAAUGCCAAUGAUUGGUAUCUAUGUAGCAGCAGCAUCUCUACUUUGUAUCCUUGCUAUGGCUGCUGAUGCUUUCCAAGCCUUCUGCGUAAAGAGACUUUGGUUCCCAUGCAAAUUCUUUGCUCUGAAUGCUGCUUCUCUUACAGUGUUAGCUGUAGCAAUGAAGUUGCCUGUCGAGAUAUCUGAACCGAUGCCAGGUGUUACUGACCAGCUAUCCAAACUGGCCAGUACUGCUGUCAUGUGUGUUGUAAUAGGUAACUGCAUGCCAUCAAUAGGAGCCAUGAGGAACAAAGAAAUCCUGUCGAACGUUGUAGCUCUGGACAUCCUGGUAAUCACAAUCAUUGUCAAUCUAUGCAUUGAAAUACAUACUGGCUUGAUUUUUAACCUGAAAUAUGAAUUUAUAGCAACUAUAUUCCUCAUGUUUCUUCUGAUAUUGGUACUGAGUUUCUCCUCUUUAACACUUGCAACCACCAAAAAAAUUCUUGAACUUAACUACGAAGAAGCAUAUCAAAUUACCUUGAGGAAUGAUGCACUAGCAUUCGGAAGGUUGUCCAUCGAUAGACUGAGAGACACUGUGGAGAAGUGUUGGAUGAUGGUCGAAACUAGUAACCCUCAAUUUGUGAUGGCACGUUCUGUAACCCUUUCGACUUCAGGGACAAUCUGUGUGUUGGCAUCUCUAAUUUUGAUGGAAGCUCUUAUAAGAAUAUACAAUUCACCUCCAUAUUUUCCCAAUAGUUCAACAUACAAAUGGACAACAAGCUUAAUUCUUAUUGUUCAGUCUAUUGGGGUGGUGCUCCAGCACUCAGAUGGUUUAUCUGUAUAAGCUUUAAGCGUUCCAACAAAACAGGCAAUGCCAAUGCUAAUUUCUUUAAAGUCGAAGACUACUGGAUCCGAAAGCUGAUUGAGUGGAAGGAGAGACCAUUGUCUUUAAACAUCAGGGGAACAAAAUUUAGAAAAUAUCUCCAAGGUACAAGACACUUAAUUCUUGCCUUCUGCAUAAGAAGUCAGAUUCUGGUUGUGUCAACGAGCAAAUUUGUGCGGUUUGUCUCAGUUGUUUCCUUCAACUUGAUGUUUUUGUGUCAACUUCAGGGCCCAAACUAUCAUCAAUCAGAACCAGAACACAGAAGAGAGACUGAAUUGCACCACCAUGUUCUGUUACUAGAAGGAGAAGAAGAACUUCCUGAAAGAAUCUUUAAGAAUAUAUCUGGUAAUGCAAACCGACUAGUAAACACAGGAAGGAAACGACAGCCAAAACAACUGGUUAAUUUGUUAAGAAAAUCUAGCAGCUUUUCUGGGGUGGCAGAUAUUUACUGCCACCAAGUUCCAGUACUGCAUUCAGUAGAACCUUCAAACUGCUGGACCUUAAGCUUAGUGACACUCACUAGCAUUACUGUUGCACUCCCCAAAGUGAGAGAUCAGAUGGACUAUCAGCUGAUAAGGAGUGUCCAUGAAGGUCCUACAUACGCCAGCUUCAUAGAGGAAACUAUGUACCCUGAAGGUGAGUUCAGAAACAUUAGAAAUGCAGCACAUAUAGUGUGGGAAGAACUGGAGAUCCAUCAAAAAUGGUUGGAUGAGGACUUGCAGAAACCGACCCUCGAAGGAAAAACUCCUAAGGAAACACUUGAGAUGCUUACAGGAAUAGCUUCAAAGAAGGUGAUGGAUUUCAAACAAACCACUGAUGGAAGAAUGCUCGAUAACCCUCUCAACUGGCCAGUCAGAAUAAUAGCUGCCAACUCAAUGUAUAAAAUUGGGAAAGCUAUCUUGCUGUUGCUGCAUAGUGAAGGACACAAUGACUUGGUUGAUGAAAAACUAUUCAAGAGAUUAUCCAUUACAAUAGCAGAUAUACUAAGUGCUUGCUUUACUAAUCUUCCACGAGCUAUAACUAUGGCUUGUAAUUCUGGUGCCAUUGAGGAGAGGGAAAAAAGUGUGCACAGAGCAGCUUUAUUAGUUGGUAAAACCGAAGAGAUCUUGAAGAUAAUUCAACAUCAUGAACUUCCAAAUAUAAAUGCUGAUUAAUCAGCUUAUAUUGAUCAGUGGAACCUUACACGCCAGCCAACAAACCUUGUUCCUGUCAUCCCUUUCGAUAGUGACAUACCGAUAUGAGCUAUAUACCUAAUCGAGAGCCAUCAUAUUCAGAUGGUAAGUUACAUAUCAUGAGCUACCAUAUGAGUAGCAAUGUAUACAUAA
Molecule: RNA transcript, 2477 nt
Organism: Solanum stenotomum
Lineage: Eukaryota; Viridiplantae; Streptophyta; Magnoliopsida; Solanales; Solanaceae
Exons: 1
Source: RefSeq, a predicted model, not a curated record